GCUAGACUAAACACAUCGCAAGUCGAACGAUGAUCCCAGCUUGCUGGGGGAUUAGUGGCGAACGGGUGAGUAACACGUGAGUAACCUGCCCUUAACUCUGGGAURMGCCUGGGAAACUGGGUCUAAUACCGGAUAUGACUCCUCAUCGCAUGGUGGGGGGUGGAAAGCUUUAUGUGGUUGACGGAUGGACUCGCGGCCUAUCACGCUUGUGAGGUGAGGUAAUGGCUUACCAAGGCAGAACAGCACGGGUACCCGGCCUGAGAGGGUGACCGGCCACACUGGGACUGAGACACGAGCCCAAACUCCUACGGGAGGCAGCAGUGGGGAAUAUUCGCACAAUGGGCGCAAGCCUGAUGCAGCGACGCCGCGUGAGGGAUGACGGCCUAGCGGGUUGUAAACCUCUUUCAGUAGGGAAGAAGCGAAAGUGACGGUACCUGCAGAAGAGGCGCCGGCUAACUACGUGCCCAGCAGCCGCGGUAAUACGUAGGGCGCAAGCGUAAUCCCGGAAUGAUGGGGGCGUAAAGAGCUCGUAGGGCGGUUUGGUCCCGGUCUGCCGUGAAAGUCCGGGGGCUCAAACUCCGGAUCCUGCGGUGGGUACCGGCAAACUAAAGUGAUGUAGGGGAGACUGAAUCACUGGGUGUAACGGUGAAAUGCCCAAAUAUUGGGA
RNAcentral lists this ribosomal RNA (667 nucleotides) under beta proteobacterium EL5. RNAcentral describes it as "bacterial SSU rRNA". It matches the Rfam family "Bacterial small subunit ribosomal RNA", at positions 42 to 702 of the family's 1533-position model. The record is from RNAcentral. Lineage: Bacteria; Pseudomonadati; Pseudomonadota; Betaproteobacteria.